This 364-nucleotide ribosomal RNA is filed under the name uncultured eukaryote. RNAcentral describes it as "partial 18S ribosomal RNA". It matches the Rfam family "Eukaryotic small subunit ribosomal RNA", at positions 592 to 976 of the family's 1831-position model. The record is from RNAcentral.
CAAAAGCGUAUAUUAAAGUUGUUGCAGUUAAAAAGCUCGUGGUUGAACCUUGGGCUUGGCUGGCCGGUCCAUCUUUUUUGAUGCGUACUGGACCCAGCCGAGCCUUUCCUUCUGGCUAGCCUUUUGGCGAACCAGGACUUUUACUUUGAAAAAAUUAGAGUGUUCAAAGCAGGCCUUUGCUCGAAUAUAUUAGCAUGGAAUAAUAGAAUAGGACGUUAUGGUUCUAUUUUGUUGGUUUCUAGGACCAUCGUAAUGAUUAAUAGGGACGGUCGGGGGUAUCAGUAUUCAGUUGUCAGAGGUGAAAUUCUUGGAUUUACUGAAGACUAACUACUGCGAAAGCAUUUACCAAGGACGUUUUCAUUAA